Molecule: ribosomal RNA, 253 nt
Filed under: Roseburia faecis M72/1
Lineage: Bacteria; Bacillati; Bacillota; Clostridia; Lachnospirales; Lachnospiraceae
Description: partial 16S ribosomal RNA
Rfam family: Bacterial small subunit ribosomal RNA
Source: RNAcentral
UACGUAUGGUGCAAGCGUUAUCCGGAUUUACUGGGUGUAAAGGGAGCGCAGGCGGUGCGGCAAGUCUGAUGUGAAAGCCCGGGGCUCAACCGCGGGACUGCAUUGGAAACUGUCGUACUAGAGUGUCGGAGAGGUAAGUGGAAUUCCUAGUGUAGCGGUGAAAUGCGUAGAUAUUAGGAGGAACACCAGUGGCGAAGGCGGCUUACUGGACGAUAACUGACGCUGAGGCUCGAAAGCGUGGGGAGCAAACAGG